AUACAGGGGGUGCGAGCGUUAAUCGGAAUUACUGGGCGUAAAGAGUACGUAGGCGGUUGCUUAAGUCAGAUGUGAAAGCCCCGGGCUCAACCUGGGAACUGCAUUUGAAACUGAGUGACCAGAGUUUAAGAGAGGGGAGUAGAAUUCCGGGUGUAGCGGUGAAAUGCGUAGAGAUCCGGAGGAAUACCAGUGGCGAAGGCGGCUCCCUGGCUUAAAACUGACGCUGAGGUACGAAAGCGUGGGUAGCAAACAGGAUUAGAUACCCUAGUAGUCC
RNAcentral lists this ribosomal RNA (274 nucleotides) under uncultured bacterium. Its description in RNAcentral is "partial 16S ribosomal RNA". It matches the Rfam family "Bacterial small subunit ribosomal RNA", at positions 523 to 796 of the family's 1533-position model. The record is from RNAcentral.